ACGGAAGCCCCCAAGGCCAAGACCGAACCGGAAGAGAAGGUUCGACCUCCCGAAGCGGGCAUCCCAGCACGGAAUACCGGCACCCACGCGGAGCACAUACCGCGAUGAUGGUAAAAGCGUUGUGGGCCUGCGUAAUUGCGAAGAGCGAACGGCUAAGAGAAUUCCUUGGGUGGAGUUGUAGCCGCAGCGCAUUGCAAGGACGCCGAGGCCACCCACACAACCCAACAAGCACGCUUGGUAACCGGGGUUCCGUGCUAGCGGGCGGCGAGCCGAGUCAGAUGCACUCUGACGACGGAGCGCCGCCCGCUUUUAUGU
Molecule: non-coding RNA, 315 nt
Filed under: Mycolicibacterium llatzerense
Lineage: Bacteria; Bacillati; Actinomycetota; Actinomycetes; Mycobacteriales; Mycobacteriaceae
Description: Mycobacterium llatzerense Mycobacterium smegmatis small RNA 1
Rfam family: Mycobacterium smegmatis small RNA 1
About the family: Mycobacterium smegmatis small RNA 1 is highly expressed during stationary phase of growth. Ms1 RNA directly interacts with RNA polymerase (RNAP), but in a different way than 6S, which is present in other bacteria.
Source: Rfam by way of RNAcentral